RNAcentral lists this ribosomal RNA (465 nucleotides) under uncultured bacterium. RNAcentral's name for it is "partial 16S ribosomal RNA". It matches the Rfam family "Bacterial small subunit ribosomal RNA", at positions 28 to 507 of the family's 1533-position model. The record is from RNAcentral.
GACGAACGCUGGCGGCGUGCUUAACACAUGCAAGUCGAACGGAAAGGCCCCUUUGGGGGUACUCGAGUGGCGAACGGGUGAGUAACACGUGAGUAACCUGCCCUUGACUUCGGGAUAACUUCAGGAAACUGGGGCUAAUACCGGAUAGGAAUCCUUGCUGCAUGGUGGGGGUUGGAAAGCUUCGGCGGUUUUGGAUGGACUCGCGGCUUAUCAGCUUGUUGGUGGGGUAGUGGCUUACCAAGGCUUUGACGGGUAGCCGGCCUGAGAGGGCGACCGGCCACAUUGGGGCUGGGAUACGGCCCAGACUCCUACGGGGGGCAGCAGGGGGGAAUAUUGCACAAUGGGCGGAAGCCUGAUGCAGCAACGCCGCGUGCGGGAGGACGGCCUUCGGGUUGGAAACCGCUUUCAGCAGGGGCGAAGCUUGUGGUGACGGUACCUGCAGAAGAAGCACCGGCUAACUACGUG